CCUACGGGAGGCAGCAGUGGGGAAUAUUGGACAAUGGGCGAAAGCCUGAUCCAGCCAUGCCGCGUGUGUGAAGAAGGCCUUCGGGUUGUAAAGCACUUUCAGUGGGGAAGAAAGCCUUGGGGCUAAUACCCUCGAGGAAGGACAUCACCCACAGAAGAAGCACCGGCUAACUCCGUGCCAGCAGCCGCGGUAAUACGGAGGGUGUGAGCGUUAAUCGGAAUUACUGGGCGUAAAGCGCGCGUAGGCGGUCUGAUAAGCCGGUUGUGAAAGCCCCGGGCUCAACCUGGGAACGGCAUCCGGAACUGUCAGGCUAGAGUGCAGGAGAGGAAGGUAGAAUUCCCGGUGUAGCGGUGAAAUGCGUAGAGAUCGGGAGGAAUACCAGUGGCGAAGGCGGCCUUCUGGACUGACACUGACGCUGAGGUGCGAAAGCGUGGGUAGCAAACAGGAUUAGAUACCCUAGUAGUC
This 465-nucleotide ribosomal RNA is filed under the name Vreelandella stevensii. RNAcentral's name for it is "partial 16S ribosomal RNA". It matches the Rfam family "Bacterial small subunit ribosomal RNA", at positions 338 to 795 of the family's 1533-position model. Lineage: Bacteria; Pseudomonadati; Pseudomonadota; Gammaproteobacteria; Oceanospirillales; Halomonadaceae. The record is from RNAcentral.